GAGAAAAAUUAUAAGAUGGCGUCGGCCGAAGUGCCGGCGUGAGACUCACGUGCUGCCAUGGUCAGACGUGGAUAAUCUCUUGUGAGAGCAAGGUGUGUUGCUGGUGCCACAAAAUAAAUUUCUUUGUUGAGACGUCAUUUAAAUUUGUUGGAAUUUAUAGAGUAUUCGCCCGUGGGCAUUAAAAUUGUGUUGAUUUUGAAAUAAUUAUUGUUAUAAUAAUAACAAUACCAAUGGAACCGGUCAGCAUUGUUUACUACAACGACGACUAACGUCUUUCUAUGGUCGGCUGGAAUUUGCUAAAUUCCUCCCACGCCAACUUGUUCCAAGGAGUUGAGGAACUUUCCAAUGCAGUAGGAUUCUGGUUGCGCACGAUAUCCCGGAACUGGUUUUGUGUAGAGCCAUGAGAUGACCAUUCUUGUGCGACUUACCGGAAACGAAGAUCGUCUGGAGCUGCAUCGGAAAACAAAGAGGAAGCCAGGCCUGGAAUUUUUCGUACCGGGUCACCGAUCAAGGUUGAAGACUUCCCGGAUCCAGUUCGGCCGAAUGCAAAAAUGACUGGCGUUACUUCGGUCCGAAGCUUGGUAUUGGAAGCUUCAAUGGUUGUUCGUAUGAAGUUUACGGAGGUAUAAUAGUCUUCGACAAAAACGUUAAGCGGCAGAAACGCUCUACUAUACACAUAAAUAUAUUUAAAUACGUGCACGACAAAUAAAAGGCUUGAGAUGAAUUUGAUGAUAAGUGAAAGUAUUUUGCGAACUUGAAAAUAUUUCUUUCUUUUUUCUUUUAUGAAAAUAUGUAAAUAAUUAUUUUUCAUUUGAAAGGACAAAAUUAUAUAUUAAAGUAGUAACUAACCAGUUAAUGUGUGGCGUAGUAGUCUCUCAUUGUACAGACGCCAUGGCAAACGAAGUCACAUCCUUCUCCAUCGCAUUUGAAUGAUCCAUUGAUAUGAGAUAACCAGACAUGGGAUGGAAUUACCCAUGUCUUGAAAAGUUUAUCGCAUGCCUUCCACUUCCAAAGCGCUGUUGAUCUUCCGUGCCAACCGAUGUGAUCCGCGAAAUUGGUGUUCGCGUACAGAUUUGCGUCGUUGACAGCAAACGAUAGCGUUGAUGUGUCAUUGAUCCUUGCUCGUUGCGGUCAUCUAAUUUUAACAUACGCAGCAACAAACUUGUUUUUCUUGCAUCGCUGUCAUCGUCAUCACUUGAACUCCUUGACGGUAAAACAGCGGGUCUACGGCCACCCCUGUUAUCUCUGUGAAACUUAUAGAUGAUACUAUCCCGAACGUUAGCUCGUGACCUCAGGGCGUACCUAGGACGCUGAGCAUUUUCUGGAGAUUCCGACGAGCAACUAGGUACUGGUGGAGCUGGAGAUGCAAUAGCCGACUCAUCAGCACCAGAAAUCUCACUGUCAGGUGAGGCUAAAGAAGAAAACGUCACAUCCGGAAAAUCAUCUUGUGACGAAGCUCGUGGCGAAUUAGACUGAUUUGUACUAGUCGAUUCUCGAGCUGAUUCUGACUGCCGAUUUUCUUCUUCAGGCUGUUGUUGUUCGACUGGAGCUGCAUCCGCUUGUACAUCUUGAGGUGGAGUUGGUGCUCUAGGUGGUGUCACAAUAGAUUGGCGGUGCUCCCUUUGCUGAUUCUCCAAUUGGGCUCGUGUAUUUCUGCAUCGUGUCGGGUUUGAAGUUGGUUGAACGCAGCAAGGAGAUUGUUAAUCUGAGCAUCCUAUCGAACUGUAAGAUCGACGAUCUUAGCCUCGUAAUUAACUUUGAGGUUGUUGAUAUCAGCAUGAUGUAAAUCUCAGUUCGUUGAUUACAGCACGGUUUUUGUCGACAUCAGCAUUGAGUCGGUCAAAUUUAUUGAUGCUCAAGUCCCUCGUCUGUUAAAUGAGCUCUUCAAAUGUAUCACGGGGCAUUGCUGGAACGGCGGCAUCGACUGCAAUUGCUGGAACUUGCAGUAAGUUCCUCGAUGGAGAUGCUUCACCUGGCCGCUGUCUUCUGUGCGGUAUUGGAGAAAUUAAUUGCCUUGAACCGCCAGGUCGCCAAUUGUCCGGCCGCAAGUCUUUGAACCCGUGCAGUAAGUUAAUCGUCGAAUAGACAUUAUUUUUUAUGUAAGGACGCUUGAUACACGCCAACAGAAAUGCGACUGUCUUAUCCGGAAAAACCACAUCGAUUUCCAGCCAGACUGGAUCAGCCGAUGAGUCCUUUCCCAAAUACAUCAUGAAGGACGUCGUCAUCGACGAAAUCCACUUGGUUGCGAGAGAUGGUUGAUGAGCAUCUCCCUGAUCACGUUCUGGCUCUUAUAAUCUAGGAAUAUCAAGAUCCCACAUAAUACUAACGGGUAUAGAAUAUAUUCAUGAUGAAUUAACGUGGACUCCAUUAUCCUCUACAAAACGUCUUUCUAUGGUCGGCUGGAAUUUGCUAAAUUCCUCCCACGCCAACUUGUUCCAAGGAGUUGAGGAACUUUCCAAUGCAGUAGGAUUCUGGUUGCGCACGAUAUCCCGGAACUGGUUUUGUGUAGAGCCAUGAGAUGACCAUUCUUGUGCGACUUACCGGAAACGAAGAUCAUCUGGAGCUGCAUCGGAAAACAAAGAGGAAGCCAGGCCUGGAAUUUUUCGUGCCGGGUCACCGAUCAAGGUUGAAGACUUGCCGGAUCCAGUUCGGCCGAAUGCAAAAAUGACUGGCGUUACUUCGGUCCGAAGCUUGGUAUUGGAAGCUUCAAUGGUUGUUCGUAUGAAGUUUACGGAGGUAUAAUAGUCUUCGACAAAAACGUUAACCGUAAUUUCCAGAUUAGAAUACGCUAACUUAUUUCCGGUUAUCGUCAGAUCGGACUGUUGAGUAGCUGCAGAAACGCUCUGCUAUUCUUGAACUAUGACGUUCAUCUUGCUACUAUUCAUAUAUAACAGAACAAAUCAUAUAUCUAUAAACAUUUAAUUAUGAGUGUAAAUAUAAAUACAUAUAUAUAUAUGUAUACAUUUGUAUAUAUAUGCACAUUCAGCGACGAACUUCUAGGAUUAGAUUAAUAUAAUCACUGCUUAAUUCGCCAUAUACCAAAGGGUGAAAUUUUAUGAACCAUAACUCAUUAUCCGAAGAUAAGAAGAGGAGUGAUUUAAAAAUAAAUUUGAGGGGUGAGAGACGUUUUAUCCAAGUAUAUGACAGUUGAAGCUCUUCAGGUGUGUCUAUCCUAUAACUCAACUAAGACGUCUUGUUGGGAAGUACAUGUUGGCAUUGUCAUAAAUUGAGUCAAGCAUAUGGACGACUCACUGCGAGAGGCGCGAUUUGUACAGUACAAUUUCGCAGCGUGAAGCCCAACUACCGCAUAACUUCCCUUCUAGAAAACCACAUUGAGAUUAAAAAACCGAAGACUUUUUGUCAUUUAAAAAUUUCAAAUCAACUGUCAUUGAGUUGAGUUUACAUCUUGUCAACUGCAGCUGUAACUUAUAAAAUCAACUAAUAAAACAGAAACCUGUGGAUUGAAGCUGAUGCUCAGGUGACCAGUAACUGCCGACGAAUUUCUCCUGUUGCCAGAAAUUGUUUUGUCACAAGACUACAAACCCAGUAGUGCAAUUAACAAGAAAAAAAACUGCUCUGGAAUUACUGGUGGGGAUUCAGCCUCUGGUAUUUUGUCAGCCGUCAAAUCCUCUAUUGCCGUUGGAAAAUCUUCUGUAUGAGGCACCAUCGGGUUCGAAUCUAUGGCAUCAAGUCACAGUGGAUAUUUCAUUUAAACAAAAAGUCAUUGAUUGACAAGUAUAUUAACUGUUUUAUUUUUUAAAUUAAUUAUUAUUAUAAGUUUAGUUUAAAUUCGUUUUUUUACAUAUGAUCAUAUAUUUAUACUAUAUAAUUUUUGAUUAUGAAAUAAUUAUAUCCGCGAUGGUCACAAGGAGCCUAGACUUCAUGGCCAAAAACCAAUAAGUAAAUUAAGAGAAAAAAAAAAAUUAAUAGCUUUCAGCUAACGCUCUAGUAAAGUCGAAUAAAAAAUUACCAGACCUUAAAUUGUUAAAAGUUGAGCUUGAUCGGUCGGUAGGGACAUUUAAAAAAAAUUUUUUUUUUAGAUAAGUUGUAAUGUAGUCGAUGGAUUGAUUGCAAAAUCUAAAGUUCUUGAUCUACAAAACUUUUUAACGAUCAGAACGUUUAUAGAUUAAAAUAUAUUUUUUUUUAAUUUUCACUUAGGGGAGAUCUUUUGUCUCAAUCUUAAUUUUUUUUGUCGCCAUGUGUGUAAAAUAUUUGAGGUGCCAAACCGCGUGAAAAUUAUAUAUUUCAAAUAUCAUGUACUUAACGAUUCGUUGAUGCGUAAAUACAUAUUUAAAUAAUUAUUGAAAGUACAACUCAAAGUUUUGUUAGAAUUUAAUUAAAAGUAUUGUAAACUAUAAUAUAAUUUUUAUGAAACUGAAGUUAACUGACGUCUACUAAUAUUUUAAUGUUUCAAAAAACGAUACAUUUAAAAAAAUUUCACCUGGAAUUUUUUAAAUUUUCUACACGUGCAUUUUUUUUUUUUUUUAAAUUGUUUGUUGAAAAAAAAAUUCAAAAUUUAUUAAUUGUCUGUUAACUUCAGGAUCAUAAAUUUCUUCUGUAAAAAUUUAAUUUAUUUAUUUACAAAAAAAAAAUUAUCUAUUGUCUACUUUCAUUAUCAUUAGAAUUUUUACCAGUUCGAGUUUUUUCGUUCAUUUACUAAAUGUAUGAUGAAAGCAGAAAUGAUUUGAUAUAUUAAAUUUAUCAGCGAUGCUAAAAGUAACAGACACCUGAAAAUUUUUUUUAAAAUCAUGAUACAAUUUUUUUUAAAUUGACGCAUUUUUUAAAUAUUUUCCUUAGUAUUUAUACUGUUUAUUAAAAGUAAAAAAAUUUUUAAAUGUCUUUUACUUUUAGCAUCAUAAUUUAGUCGAGGAGAAAAAUAGUAUACACUCCUCGGGAAGUAAAUAAGAAAGCCUCAGAUCACAUGUUUGCUGACCUCGGCUUCGCCUCGGCCAACAAUUACAUGUGAUCUGAGACAUUUCUUACUUUACUUCCCUAGGUGUGUAAUAUACUAUUAUUAUAAAUACAAGCAAAAAUAACUUUUAUAUAAAUAUCAUGUAAAAACUAAUUUAAUUUUUAUGAAACUGAAGUUAACUGACGUCUACUAAUAUUUUAAUGUUUCAAAAAACGAUACAUAUAAAAAAAUUUCACCUGGAAUUUUUUUAAUUUUCUACACGUGCAUUUUUUUUUUUUUAAAUUGUUUGUUGAAAUAAAAAUUCAAAAAUUAUUUAUUGUCUGUUAACUUCAGGAUCAUAAAUUUCUUCUGUAAAAAUUUAAUUUAUUUGUUUAAAAAAAAAAAUUAUCUAUUGUCUACUUUCAUUAUCAUUAGAAUUUUUACCAGUUCGAGUUUUUUUGUUCAUUUACUAAAUGUAUGAUGAAAGCAGAAAUGAUUUGAUUUAUUAAAUUUAUCAGCGAUGCUAAAAGUAACAGACAUCUGAAAAUUUUUUUUAAAAUCAUGAUACAAUUUUUUUAAAUUGACGCAUUUUCAAAAUAUUUUCUUCAGUAUUUUAUAUUGUUUAUUUAUAUUCAUAUUGUUUAUUAAAAGUAAAAAAAUUUUUAAAUGUCUUUUACUUUUAGCAUCAUAAUUUAUUAGUAUAAUAAAUAAAUUGGCCUCUUCUUAUAAUUAUAUAUCUAUAUAAAUAUUAAAUGACAAUAAUAUUCAACAACUCUUAUAUUGGUUGUAAAUUUAAAUAUUAUAUUUUGUACUUUUAUUAUAAAUACAACCAAAUAAUUUUUAUAUAAAUAUCAUGUAAAAACUAAUUUGAUUUUUAUAAUAAAAUUGUUCUGCUUAUAGAGUAAGAGCACUAGAACCCAGCCUCAAACUAGUAGGCAGCCACUUCAUGUUAAAUUAUAUCUAUAUAUAUUUCUAGCCAAUUUCAAAGUAUAUGACCGGCUGGCUACUGGUUAGAGCUAGGUACUGGUACUCUUACUCUACUUGUAAUUUAUAUUUAGUUGUAAAUGAUAACUUUAUGUACACAUUAAUAUGAAAUUAUUAAAUGUAAAAAAUUUUAAUUGAUGUUAUAUAAAGUUGUCAUAUUUUUUUAUUAAACGUUUCAAUUCAAGGCCUUGCGUUUCAAUUCAGACGCCUUGCGUUGAAAAAAAAAAAUACAAAAUAAAUAAAUCGUUCAAUUAAUCAUAAACUUUUUAGCGCUCAAUAAGGAAAAAGUUUUAAAUCGAUACAUGGUAUAUUUUUUAACAGCUUUAGAAAGAUUGUUGCUCAAAUAAAAUGGAUCUUGGACAGCCACCACUGAGUCCAACCGUAAGCUUUCAGCUUUUUUAUUUUUAUUAACGUAAUUUUUGUAAGGCUCCAUUUUAUCAGGCAGAUCUUUAAGAUUUUCCGAGAUAAAAAAAUUAAUUUUUUCAAUCAGGCGACUCAGAAGUGAACAAAAUAUAUUAUUUCUAUAAUUAAAGCCCGCGCACAUUAUGAAAAAUCCCCGUAAUAAAUCUUUGAAAUUAUAAAUAUUACUAAUAUCCGGUAGGGUAAAAUCUUUGGAGGCUCCUGUCUUCCAACCACCGAUUCUUUGAGACUUUCCUUCAAGUUUUAUCAACUCUGCAACAUUUGGUAAUAUAAACUUUGUUUGUAAAUAAUAAAUAAACAUCCAAGCGACAGAAUAAUUAUGUAUUCCGCU
Molecule: long non-coding RNA, 6626 nt
Organism: Microplitis mediator
Lineage: Eukaryota; Metazoa; Arthropoda; Insecta; Hymenoptera; Braconidae
Exons: 3
Source: RefSeq, a predicted model, not a curated record